Molecule: ribosomal RNA, 671 nt
Filed under: Psychrobacter sp. Air252
Lineage: Bacteria; Pseudomonadati; Pseudomonadota; Gammaproteobacteria; Moraxellales; Moraxellaceae
Description: bacterial SSU rRNA
Rfam family: Bacterial small subunit ribosomal RNA
Source: RNAcentral
AGAUGACGAGCGGCGGACGGGUGAGUAAUACUUAGGAAUCUACCUAGUAGUGGGGGAUAGCUCGGGGAAACUCGAAUUAAUACCGCAUACGACCUACGGGAGAAAGGGGGCAGUUUACUGCUCUCGCUAUUAGAUGAGCCUAAGUCGGAUUAGCUAGAUGGUGGGGUAAAGGCCUACCAUGGCGACGAUCUGUAGCUGGUCUGAGAGGAUGAUCAGCCACACCGGGACUGAGACACGGCCCGGACUCCUACGGGAGGCAGCAGUGGGGAAUAUUGGACAAUGGGGGAAACCCUGAUCCAGCCAUGCCGCGUGUGUGAAGAAGGCCUUUUGGUUGUAAAGCACUUUAAGCAGUGAAGAAGACUCCGUGGUUAAUACCCACGGACGAUGACAUUAGCUGCAGAAUAAGCACCGGCUAACUCUGUGCCAGCAGCCGCGGUAAUACAGAGGGUGCAAGCGUUAAUCGGAAUUACUGGGCGUAAAGGGAGCGUAGGUGGCUCGAUAAGUCAGAUGUGAAAUCCCCGGGCUCAACCUGGGAACUGCAUCUGAUACUGUUGAGCUAGAGUAUGUGAGAGGAAGGUAGAAUUCCAGGUGUAGCGGUGAAAUGCGUAGAGAUCUGGAGGAAUACCGAUGGCGAAGGCAGCCUUCUGGCAUAAUACUGACACUGAGGCUCG